RNAcentral lists this ribosomal RNA (282 nucleotides) under unidentified marine bacterioplankton. RNAcentral's name for it is "partial 16S ribosomal RNA". It matches the Rfam family "Bacterial small subunit ribosomal RNA", at positions 55 to 339 of the family's 1533-position model. The record is from RNAcentral.
AUGCAAGUCGAACGGCAGCACGGGGGCAACCCUGGUGGCGAGUGGCGAACGGGUGAGUAAUACAUCGGAACGUGUCCUGUAGUGGGGGAUAGCCCGGCGAAAGCCGGAUUAAUACCGCAUACGCUCUACGGAGGAAAGGGGGGGAUCUUAGGACCUCCCGCUACAGGGGCGGCCGAUGGCAGAUUAGCUAGUUGGUGGGGUAAAGGCCUACCAAGGCGACGAUCUGUAGCUGGUCUGAGAGGACGACCAGCCACACUGGGACUGAGACACGGCCCAGACUCC